Long non-coding RNA from Syngnathoides biaculeatus (alligator pipefish), 2373 nucleotides. RefSeq lists it as uncharacterized. NCBI's taxonomy places the organism in Eukaryota, Metazoa, Chordata, Actinopteri, Syngnathiformes, Syngnathidae. The transcript has 3 exons. The record is from RefSeq and is a predicted model, not a curated record.
UUCUUCUUUGAUGCUUUGAGUGUUUCUGUGCUCGAUGCAAAUCGCAUCUGCGCAUUAAAGCCGCUGGAAGGAAGCCCGUAAAUAUGGCGUCGGGUUUCGGUCGUUUGGAAAGGUUGCAAAAUUGGAUCAAAAAUGUGCAAAGUGACUCCCGCAACAAGUUCAUUUUACACGCGCACGUGCACAUGCGCAUGCGUGUGUGUCUGUGUGUGUGUGUGUGUGUGUGGUGUGUGUGUUAGAAGCUCAUUUAUUUCGUUUCUUUGAUUCCACAGACUAAGAUGAUGAUGAUGAUGAUGAUGAUGAUGAUGAUGAAGACAUCACAUCUGCUGUCGAGUUUUGCUUUCAAAAAGGAGAAAGCGGACACGCGACCGUUUCCUCGGCAAAAAAAAAAAAGCCAAAGUUGAGGAGAGGAGAAGAAGAAAAUCCCCUUUGAUCUUUGGAAAGACGACCCGCAGCGCCAACCGACGCUUUGUGCGGCGUCUUCGAUGGCCGCCGCACACACGCCGGGAUGACGACGACGACAAAGGUGAGCGGUAUCGACGUCGCUCUCAAGUAGCCGUUACCUUCAAACAAGGCGUAAAGCAGCCGUCAGUAUUCGAGCGGCUCGUCCAGCGACACAACGCUCAGCGGUUUGAAUCCCGACUUCGACUAUCCGCGUGCGGAAGUGCCCCGGGGCGAGACGCCCACAACUAAAUUUGGCAAACGGGGACUUGGGCCACUGUGACUCGCCCUAACGUUAACCAUGUUCCAAAUGGUGUAGGAUUAGUAAAGUACACUCGCCGCUGUACAGAAGUGUUGCACUUGAUUGUUUUGGAUAAAGCAGAUGGGGGGGGGCUCACUUUCUAGCGGCUAACCUGGCUAAAUGCUAACCGGCGAGCGUCUUGUAUUGACCAAUAAAAAAAAAAAUGCCGUUGUUGUCAUUGGCGUUUUGUUGUUUGUUUGUUUUUAUUUUUGUGUUGUAACACAAAGCAUCAUGGGAACACACAAGAAUGCGCAAGAAGAAAAGUGUGUGCGCGCGUGCGCGCGCGACAGCGUGUGAAAAUUCACACAGUGGCACAAACAACAGUGGCAAAAUAUAAUAUGGCGUUGAGGGUAUUGAGGGUGUGGAUGUGUGAUUUAGGGGGAGUGGGAAAGCACGCCGCCGCCACCUCUGGUGGAUUCGAUCAUCAAACGCAUCCCAAGACGCGCGUGCGGUUAUUAGCGGGAGCAGGUACAGCUGGGGCUUCAGAAGUCGACGCCAGCCGCCAUCAUGCUAGUCUCACGCUCAUUAACGCGCAAUCGUGACGCUCAACUCGUCAACGUCUGAUCCAAGCUAGGUGGCUAAGUGCUAAAACGCUACAUUGCUGGGUUGCUAAGAUGCGAGGUGGCUAAAAUUGGAUUUUAAACUCACGAGGAGACGGUCGGCCUGUCUUUGUGCCGAUUUCCAAUCAAAUGCGUCAAACGUCGGACAAUCUUCCUUCCAUAAAGUCACGCUACAAGAUGACUUUGUCGCGAUCGCAGAGCCCAAAACGCGUCAGCAAUCUAAAAUCUCCCAGUGUGUGGGAGAAUCCGCCGUCUCUGAGAAUCGCGACACGGCUUUGGGAUGUGACCGGUCGAGAAUCUUCGUGACUCGGGCAAAACCAAGCGGCCGGCGCCAAUUGAAGCUAGCAAACGUGAACGGCAAGCCCAGAAGGUUUGCCGUCUCCGGGAUUGUUUACCUUUCUUUUUUUGGGGCUGUGGGAUGUUCCGUUUCAAAAAGGUUUCCUCUAAUCGUGCGUCUUCUUGGUUUGCCGUCAUCGCUACAUUUGUUCGGCUUUUGCUACGUGCGUGGAGAUUUUUGGAGGACACCUCUCACAACACAACCAAAACUUGGUCUGUGGGGUCUACCCCAGAUUCCCCCCCAAAAAAAAGAAUAAAGAUUUGGAAAAAUCCUCGUGCGUGGACCAGGCCAAAGAUGUCCAGUGGUGAAGUCGUAAGAUUAUACAGUCAGCGACUAAGACUUGGAUUGGGUGAGGUAGCCAAGAUGCUUGGUUGCUAAAUGGCCGGCAAAGAUGCUACGAAGCUAAUUGACGAAAACGCGAUGUAGCUCUAAGUUGCAGCUUUCAUUUUUUGCUACGAGCGUCAAACAGAACCAAAGUGGAGGUAGUGGCCUUUUUCAACCAAUUCAAACAUAAUUUAGGGGGAGCAUGAAAUGAAGUUAGAACCGAUGGAAUCGGAAGUGUCAUUGGAAGAGGGAAACAAAUGAAAGACUGCACCUGACUGGGAUUGUUUCGUAGUACUAAAUAAUAAAUGGCGUGCGAGUGGCUGUGAUUGCUAAUGGGCUAAUUAGUCGUUGCUCACAUUAGCGGACAUCGGACACUCGGCUCCUCAAUGCUAACGCUGACGUCUGGGCCCCAC